This 217-nucleotide ribosomal RNA is filed under the name uncultured bacterium. RNAcentral's name for it is "partial 16S ribosomal RNA". It matches the Rfam family "Bacterial small subunit ribosomal RNA", at positions 328 to 539 of the family's 1533-position model. The record is from RNAcentral.
ACGCUCGACACCUACGGGAGGCAGCAGUGAGGAAUAUUGGUCAAUGGGCGCAGGCCUGAACCAGCCAAGUAGCGUGAAGGAUGACUGCCCUAUGGGUUGUAAACUUCUUUUAUAUGGGAAUAAAGUUUUCCACGUGUGGAAUUUUGUAUGUACCAUAUGAAUAAGGAUCGGCUAACUCCGUGCAGCAGCCGCGGUAAUCUGAGCGGGCUGGCAAGGC